GUAACAGAGAGUUUGAUCAUGGCUCAGAUUGAACGCUGGCGGGAUGCUUUACACAUGCAAGUCGAACGGCAGCACGGACUUCGGUCUGGUGGCGAGUGGCGAACGGGUGAGUAAUGUAUCGGAACGUGCCUAGUAGCGGUGAUAACUACGCUGAAAGCGUAGCUAAUACUGCCGCCCUUCGGGGAAAGCGGGGACCUUCGGGCCUCGCACUAUUAGAGCGGCCGAUACUGGAUUAGCUAGUUGGUGGGGUAACGGCUCGCUCAAGGCGACGAUCCGUAGCUGGUUUGAGAGGACGACCAGCCACACUGGGACUGAGACACGGCCCAGACUCCUACGGGAGGCAGCAGUGGGGAAUUGACAAUGGGGGAAACCCUGAUCCACAGCCAUCCUGGGCGUGUGCGAUGAAGGCCUUUUCGGGUUGUAAAGCACUUUUGGCAGGAAAGAAACGGCACGGGAUAAUACCCCGUGCAACUGACGGUACCCGCAGAAUAAGCACCGGCUAACCAUGCGCCAGCAGCCGCGGUAAUACGUAGGGUGCAAGCGUUAAUCGGAAUUACUGGGCGUAGCGUGCGCAGGCGGGUUCGGAAAGAAAGAUGUGAAAUCCCAGAGCUUAACUUUGGAACUGCAUUUUUAACUACCGAGCUAGAGCGUGUCAGAGGGAGGUGGAAUUCUGCGUGUAGCAGUGAAAUGCGUAGAUAUGCGGAGGAACACCGAUGGCGAAGGCAGCUCUCUGGAGGAACACUGACGCCUGCAAAUGAAAGCGUGGGAUAAACAGGAUUAGAUACCCUGGUAGUCCACGCCCUAAACGAUGUCAACUGAAGUGUUAGCCUUCUGGCCUUGUAGCGCAGCUAACGCGUGAAGUUGACCGCCUGGGGAGUACGGUGGUCGCAGAUUAAAGAAACCAAAGGAACGAUGAUCCGCAUUACGGUGGAUGAUGAUUGAAAUUGAUGCACCGAAAACCUUACCUACUCCUUGAUAUGUCUGGAACCUUAAAGAGAUUUGGGAGUGUCGGCAAGAGAACCGGAACACAGGUGCUGCAUGGCUGUCGUCAGCUCGUGUCGUGAGAUGUUUGGGUUAAGUCCCGCAACGAGCGCAACCUUGUCAUUAGUUGCUACGAAAGGGCACUCUAUCAGAGACCGCCGGGUAGACAAACUGAGGGUGAUGACGUCAAGUCUCAUGGCCCUUAUGGGUAGGGCUUCACACGCUGGCGCACAAUGGUCGGGACAGAGGGUCGCCAACCCGCGAGGGGAGCCAAUCCCAGAAACCCGAUCGUAAACUGGAUCGCAGUCUGCAACUCGACUGCGUGAAGUCGGAAUCGGGCGGUAAUCGCGAUCAGCAUGUCGCGGUGAAUACGUUCCUUGUACACACCGCCCGUCACACCAUGGGAGUGGGGUUUUACCAGAAGUAGUUAGCUCAACUGUAAGGAGGGCGAUUACCACGGUAGAUUCAUGACUGGGGUGAAGUCGUAAACAAGGCAG
This 1478-nucleotide ribosomal RNA is filed under the name uncultured Bordetella sp. RNAcentral describes it as "partial 16S-23S ribosomal RNA intergenic spacer". It matches the Rfam family "Bacterial small subunit ribosomal RNA". Lineage: Bacteria; Pseudomonadati; Pseudomonadota; Betaproteobacteria; Burkholderiales; Alcaligenaceae. The record is from RNAcentral.